This 253-nucleotide ribosomal RNA is filed under the name uncultured bacterium. RNAcentral's name for it is "partial 16S ribosomal RNA". It matches the Rfam family "Bacterial small subunit ribosomal RNA", at positions 524 to 776 of the family's 1533-position model. The record is from RNAcentral.
UACGGAGGGUGCAAGCGUUGUUCGGAUUCAUUGGGCGUAAAGCGAGUGUAGGCGGUUUGACAAGUCGGAUGUGAAAUCCCGGGGCCCAACCCCGGAACUGCACCCGAUACUGUCUGGCUAGAGUCCCGGAGAGGGUGGCGGAAUUCCCGGUGUAGGGGUGAAAUCCGUAGAUAUCGGGAGGAACACCAGUGGCGAAGGCGGCCACCUGGACGGUGACUGACGCUGAGACUCGAAAGCGUGGGUAGCAUACAGC